CUCAGAUCAUGUAAGAUUUUAAUGAUCGAACAGAUCAAAAUUUUAAACUUUUGCAUUUAAAUUUUAUCUUAAUCCAACAUCGAGGUCGCAAACUUUUUUUUUUAUUUGUACUAAAAAAAAAUAUUACGCUGUUAUCCCUAAGGUAAUUUUUUCUUAUAAUCAUUAUUAAUGGAUCAUUUAAUCAUUUAUUUAUGUUUAAUUUUUAAAAAAAGUUAAUUUAAUUUUUCUAUCACCCCAAUAUAAUAAUUAAUUUUAUUUCAAUAAAAAUUUUUAUAUAAUUUUAAAAUAAAAAUAAAUAUAAAACUCUAUAGGGUCUUCUCGUCUUUUAAAAUUAAUUUAGCUUUUUAACUAAAAAAUAAACUUCUAAAAAUAAAUAAGAGACAGUUUAUAUUUCAUCAAAUCUUUCAUACAAGUUUUCAAUUAAAAAACUAGUGAUUAUGCUACCUUUGUACAGUCAUUAUACUGCAGCCCUUUAAUUAUUAUCAGUGGGCAGAUUAGACCUUAAAUUAUAUUCAAAAAGACAUGUUUUUG
This 531-nucleotide ribosomal RNA is filed under the name Oeneis fulla. RNAcentral describes it as "partial 16S rRNA". The record is from RNAcentral. Lineage: Eukaryota; Metazoa; Arthropoda; Insecta; Lepidoptera; Nymphalidae.